GACGAACCGUGCGAACGUUGUUCGGAAUCACUGGGCUUAAAGGGCGCGUAGGCGGCCCGCCGCGUCCGGGGUGAAAUCCUCCCGCUCAACGGGAGAACGGCCUCGGAUACGGGCGGGCUGGAGGCGGGUAGGGGCGGGCGGAACUGUGGGUGGAGCGGUGAAAUGCGUUGAUAUCCACAGGAACUCCGGUGGCGAAGGCGAGGUGCUGGGCCCUUUCUGACGCUGAGUGCGCGAAAGCCAGGGGAGCAAACGGG
RNAcentral lists this ribosomal RNA (254 nucleotides) under uncultured bacterium. RNAcentral describes it as "partial 16S ribosomal RNA". It matches the Rfam family "Bacterial small subunit ribosomal RNA", at positions 524 to 776 of the family's 1533-position model. The record is from RNAcentral.